GCUCCCUGAAUGUUAGCGGCGGACGGGUGAGUAACACGUGGGUAACCUGCCUGUAAGACUGGGAUAACUCCGGGAAACCGGGGCUAAUACCGGAUGGUUGUUUGAACCGCAUGGUUCAGACAUAAAAGGUGGCUUCGGCUACCACUUACAGAUGGACCCGCGGCGCAUUAGCUAGUUGGUGAGGUAACGGCUCACCAAGGCGACGAUGCGUAGCCGACCUGAGAGGGUGAUCGGCCACACUGGGACUGAGACACGGCCCAGACUCCUACGGGAGGCAGCAGUAGGGAAUCUUCCGCAAUGGACGAAAGUCUGACGGAGCAACGCCGCGUGAGUGAUGAAGGUUUUCGGAUCGUAAAGCUCUGUUGUUAGGGAAGAACAAGUGCCGUUCAAAUAGGGCGGCACCUUGACGGUACCUAACCAGAAAGCCACGGCUAACUACGUGCCAGCAGCCGCGGUAAUACGUAGGUGGCAAGCGUUGUCCGGAAUUAUUGGGCGUAAAGGGCUCGCAGGCGGUUUCUUAAGUCUGAUGUGAAAGCCCCCGGCUCAACCGGGGAGGGUCAUUGGAAACUGGGGAACUUGAGUGCAGAAGAGGAGAGUGGAAUUCCACGUGUAGCGGUGAAAUGCGUAGAGAUGUGGAGGAACACCAGUGGCGAAGGCGACUCUCUGGUCUGUAACUGACGCUGAGGAGCGAAAGCGUGGGGAGCGAACAGGAUUAGAUACCCUGGUAGUCCACGCCGUAAACGAUGAGUGCUAAGUGUUAGGG
Molecule: ribosomal RNA, 763 nt
Filed under: Bacillus sp. AP71
Lineage: Bacteria; Bacillati; Bacillota; Bacilli; Caryophanales; Bacillaceae
Description: bacterial SSU rRNA
Rfam family: Bacterial small subunit ribosomal RNA
Source: RNAcentral